Seriola aureovittata is the source of this 1201-nucleotide long non-coding RNA. RefSeq lists it as uncharacterized. The transcript has 4 exons. The record is from RefSeq and is a predicted model, not a curated record. NCBI's taxonomy places the organism in Eukaryota, Metazoa, Chordata, Actinopteri, Carangiformes, Carangidae.
GAUGUGAUGAAAUGCCAACAAAAAACACAACGGAGCAGUGAGAAACUAAUGACUCUGUCGAACUAUCGCACACCAAGACAAAAACAGUGUGUGCCAUUGUAUGUGUGCCGUGGGUGUUCCCUCAUUGUUUUUAUUAGGGUAAGUGUAUUGAUAUCUACUGUAUUUUGUUUUGUCGAUGUAGUCAUUUUUAAUUGGCAAAACUGUUCUGAAAUCAAAAAUAAAUGAAUUGAUUAAAGAGACUGAAUGAGUUUGAGCAGAAUUCAAGCUAAGCUAAUUGGCUAACCUGUACAGUCACACAGGUGUUUUCAGUUAUUCUGGCUGAUUAGACCUCCCAGGUUGAAUUUAGAUCACCAAGCUCAACGUACCAAUAACAAGAGUGAUGCAGGUGCAACAGGAGAGUGAGGGAGAUGUCAAUCAAGCAGAGUCUGGACACGCCCACUCAGUCUCAAUCAGGUGAAGUGAAAACGCCUGUGUGGAUGUGCCAUGUUAGCAGCCACUCAGACUCAGUAAGGCGAGGCCUGGUCAAAACAGGUAAGCGCUAGCUUGGAUAGCAUAGCAUAGCUAACAAUAAGAGAACCUGUACUUGGUUCAAAUCACCAAUUGAUUUUCUUGUUAGCUGGCUCUUCUUCAGUACCAUAAAGGAAUAAAAAUUAUUUUUAAUUUAUUUUAGUUCAUUGUUGUUGCUAACGUUAGCUGUGUCUGAAGGGCAGAGCCAACUGACCCCUUGUUGGCAGAGGUUGCAGGAGCUCACCAGGCCCUCCAGCAUGAGGUGUUGACUUGGACCAGCCUUACAAAGGAGCCCCCGGUGCCACACUUGCACCUCUGCAGACAGCCCUUCCCGAAGGUGCCUGCUGGACAGGACUCCUCGCAGUAGCGUCCUAUGAACCCUGGAAGACACUGACACGCCCCCUUCACAGGAUCGCACAGAGCUCCGUUCUCACACUUGCACUGCUGAUUGCAGCUCGAGCCCCAGUGUUUGUCGUCACAGGCUGAAAAAUGAAAGUGUGUGGACACUGGAGGAUGGAGAUUUGGGGGAUCUAAGAAAAGGCUAACGUCAUCAAAUGAAAGAGGCUGCACACAUUCGGGUCUCUUGGGUUCAGGGAGCAGCUCAGACCAAUCAGGAGGCCAAGAAUCAGCAGGAGGGCGGAGCUCGGCAUGAUCGGCAUGGUCCUGAGGGCGAAAAAAGGAAAGGCAUUUACAG